Adelges cooleyi (spruce gall adelgid) is the source of this 205-nucleotide small nucleolar RNA. RefSeq annotates it as small nucleolar RNA U3. The record is from RefSeq and is a predicted model, not a curated record. The transcript has a single exon. NCBI's taxonomy places the organism in Eukaryota, Metazoa, Arthropoda, Insecta, Hemiptera, Adelgidae.
AAGAUCAUACUUCACAGGAUCAUUUCUGUAGUAUGCAUCGUCCCCUCCAGGUGCAAAUCUGGAGUCGUCGUCAGCCACGAUGAUGAGACUAGUUCAUUCGCCAGAGCGUGAGACUGCUAGUGGUCUACCAUUAAUUUGGUAACGACCAUCUAGCGACGAUGAUCGCAACCAGUUCGCUGGAAGGUGUUUGAACAGUCUGAGUGGU